Molecule: long non-coding RNA, 126 nt
Organism: Thalassophryne amazonica
Lineage: Eukaryota; Metazoa; Chordata; Actinopteri; Batrachoidiformes; Batrachoididae
Exons: 3
Source: RefSeq, a predicted model, not a curated record
UUGUAAAUGACUAUAAAUCAAACCAACGUAUGUCACGCUGCCUUCACUCCGAUUGGCAGUUGCCGUGUCGCAUCACUCAGCAUUUGCAUAAAACAGACUUCUUGUCUAUUUUGGCGCCACCUAGCU